GGGUCAGUAGUUUGGUCGUGCCACCGGUACGUACUGGUCUCACUGAUUCCUCCUUCCUGAAGAACCGUAAUGCCAUUAAUUUGGUGUUGCGGGGAAACAGGACUGUUACUUUGAAAAAAUUAGAGUGUUUAAAGCAAGAUAACGCUUGAAUACAUUAGCAUGGAAUAAUGAAAUAGGACGAUCGAUCCUAUAGUGUUGGUUUCUAGGAUUGACGUA
RNAcentral lists this ribosomal RNA (216 nucleotides) under Glomeromycotina sp. Its description in RNAcentral is "partial small subunit ribosomal RNA". The stretch from base 40 to 216 matches the Rfam family "Eukaryotic small subunit ribosomal RNA", at positions 686 to 864 of the family's 1831-position model. The record is from RNAcentral. Lineage: Eukaryota; Fungi; Glomeromycota.